This 86-nucleotide transfer RNA is filed under the name Felis catus (domestic cat). It matches the Rfam family "tRNA". From Rfam's summary of the family: Transfer RNA (tRNA) molecules are approximately 80 nucleotides in length. Lineage: Eukaryota; Metazoa; Chordata; Mammalia; Carnivora; Felidae. The record is from Rfam by way of RNAcentral.
ACCUGGGUGGCUCAGUUGAUUAAACGUCUGACUUUGGCUCAGGUCAUAAUCUCAACAGUUUGUGGGUUCGAGCCCCACCUCGGGUU